This 123-nucleotide non-coding RNA is filed under the name Lentilactobacillus kisonensis F0435. RNAcentral describes it as "Lactobacillus kisonensis F0435 Enterococcus sRNA 68 (Lacto-3 RNA)". It matches the Rfam family "Enterococcus sRNA 68 (Lacto-3 RNA)". From Rfam's summary of the family: Name 'Ref' stands for RNA in E. faecalis. Also known as Lacto-3 RNA. Lineage: Bacteria; Bacillati; Bacillota; Bacilli; Lactobacillales; Lactobacillaceae. The record is from Rfam by way of RNAcentral.
UGCGAUGAGUCGAGAGACCACACAGCAAUUUGCUGUUCGCGCAAGCGACUAAGGUGGUAUUUUGAGCGGGACACAUUUUAAGCACGGAUUUGUGGUGUCUGACUUCGAUGGAUUGUGGAGUCU